GUAGUAAAUGAACUUCCCUACCUACAUUAGUAUACAGUGUAUAUCUAGUAAAUACAAAUAUCAAAUAACUAUAUUUACUUCCUUCUAGAACUUAAGUUAGGAUAAAGGUCACCAAUUCAUUAACAACAAAGUAUAAGCAACAUAUCCGUAAUUGCCACACACUACUUGAAUUUUCUUAAUUUUUUUUUUUAAUUCGAUUCUCGUUAAGUAUUCAUAGGGGGACGUCUGUAUGUUGUGGUGAACAAUUACAGAAGUCAGUUGGAUUAAAUGUGGUUGCUGUUGCUAGAUUGGAUUGAUCAGUGUGCUGGAUGAUUGAUCGGAGCAUUGCACGGUUAGCAUGUAAUUACUACCUUAAAGUCUCUUUCUCUAGAUCUCUUCAACAAGUCGAGACAUCACAAUGACGUAAAUGUAAACCAAUUGCGUGUAAAAUAAUGCAAACUUAAAUCUGACGCUUAUAAUAAAGGAGAUGAUUUCAUGCGUGAUGAGUGAAACCUUUGAACUGAACUCAACUGGAAAAUACCAAUUCUGUCCUUGAAACUUGAUCCACUAGUGAAUUGGUUGCAGUAUUGCCAUCUUAAAUUAUAAAAACAAUUUUUUUACUUUACUAUUGUACUCUCAUUUAAUACAUUUUUUAUAUAUGAUUUCUUAUUUUUGUUAUGAUUACAUAAAAUACAAAUUUGCAAAAAAAUAAAAUAAAAUGAAAACUUAAAAAAUGAAAAAAAAAAAGAAAAA
Long non-coding RNA from Episyrphus balteatus (marmalade hoverfly), 732 nucleotides. RefSeq lists it as uncharacterized. The record is from RefSeq and is a predicted model, not a curated record. NCBI's taxonomy places the organism in Eukaryota, Metazoa, Arthropoda, Insecta, Diptera, Syrphidae. The transcript is spliced from 2 exons.